This 1220-nucleotide ribosomal RNA is filed under the name Acinetobacter radioresistens. Its description in RNAcentral is "bacterial SSU rRNA". It matches the Rfam family "Bacterial small subunit ribosomal RNA", at positions 36 to 1324 of the family's 1533-position model. The record is from RNAcentral. Lineage: Bacteria; Pseudomonadati; Pseudomonadota; Gammaproteobacteria; Moraxellales; Moraxellaceae.
CGGGGGGCGGGCUUACACAUGCAGUCGAGCGGAUGAAGGUAGCUUGCUACUGGAUUCAGCGGCGGACGGGUGAGUAAUGCUUAGGAAUCUGCCUAUUAGUGGGGGACAACGUUCCGAAAGGAGCGCUAAUACCGCAUACGUCCUACGGGAGAAAGCAGGGGACCUUUGGGCCUUGCGCUAAUAGAUGAGCCUAAGUCGGAUUAGCUAGUUGGUAGGGUAAAGGCCUACCAAGGCGACGAUCUGUAGCGGGUCUGAGAGGAUGAUCCGCCACACUGGGACUGAGACACGGCCCAGACUCCUACGGGAGGCAGCAGUGGGGAAUAUUGGACAAUGGGGGGAACCCUGAUCCAGCCAUGCCGCGUGUGUGAAGAAGGCCUUUUGGUUGUAAAGCACUUUAAGCGAGGAGGAGGCUACCUAGAUUAAUACUUUAGGAUAGUGGACGUUACUCGCAGAAUAAGCACCGGCUAACUCUGUGCCAGCAGCCGCGGUAAUACAGAGGGUGCGAGCGUUAAUCGGAUUUACUGGGCGUAAAGCGUGCGUAGGCGGCCAAUUAAGUCAAAUGUGAAAUCCCCGAGCUUAACUUGGGAAUUGCAUUCGAUACUGGUUGGCUAGAGUAUGGGAGAGGAUGGUAGAAUUCCAGGUGUAGCGGUGAAAUGCGUAGAGAUCUGGAGGAAUACCGAUGGCGAAGGCAGCCAUCUGGCCUAAUACUGACGCUGAGGUACGAAAGCAUGGGGAGCAAACAGGAUUAGAUACCCUGGUAGUCCAUGCCGUAAACGAUGUCUACUAGCCGUUGGGGCCCUUGAGGCUUUAGUGGCGCAGCUAACGCGAUAAGUAGACCGCCUGGGGAGUACGGUCGCAAGACUAAAACUCAAAUGAAUUGACGGGGGCCCGCACAAGCGGUGGAGCAUGGUGGUUUAAUUCGAUGCACGCGAGAACCUUACCUGGCCUUGACAUACAGAGACUUUCAGAGAUGGAUUGUGCUUCGGGACUCUGAUACAGUGCUGCAUGCUGUCGUCAGCUCGUGUCGUGAGAUGUGGGUAGUCCGCACGAGCGCACCUUUCUAUUGGCAGCACUCGGUGGGACUUUAGAUCCUGCAAUGGACACUGAGAGCGGGACACGUCAGUCAUCAUGCUACGCAAGCUCACACUGCUCAUGUCGUUCGAAGUUCAACCGAUGUAGUCUAUCCACGCAUCUGAUCCGGAUGGAUCUGCACCUGGACU